RNAcentral lists this ribosomal RNA (118 nucleotides) under Mastacembelus armatus (zig-zag eel). Lineage: Eukaryota; Metazoa; Chordata; Actinopteri; Synbranchiformes; Mastacembelidae. The record is from RNAcentral.
AGAGGCGACCGCAUCAGAGUGCAUGUGCCCAAUUGUGUCCACUCUUGGAAACUAAGCAGUGCUGUGCAUGGUUAGUACUUCGAUGGGACACCACCUUGAAAGACCAGGGGAUCCUGUC